Molecule: ribosomal RNA, 657 nt
Rfam family: Bacterial large subunit ribosomal RNA
GUCUGCUUGGAGUUAUAAGAAGUCUAGCCUGCUCUCUGAUUUAUUAAAGGGCCGCGGUAAUCUGACCGUGCAAAGGUAGCAUAAUAAUUAGUUUUUUAAUUGGAAUCUUGUAUGAAUGGUUGAACAAAAGAAAUACUGUCUCUAUAAUUUUGUUUGAAUUUAACUUUUAAGUGAAAAGGCUUAAAUUUAUUAAAAAGACGAUAAGACCCUAUAAAGCUUUAUAAGAAAUUUCUGUUUGGUUGAAUUAAAAUGAUAAAAUCUUGGUAGUUACUCUUAUUUUAUUGGGGAGAUAAAAUUAUAAUUUUUUAUAACUGAUUUAAAGUUAAACAAAAAUAAAUGUUUAUUAGUAAAAGAUCCUUAUUAAGGAUUAUAAGUUUAAGUUACUUUAGGGAUAACAGCGUAAUUCUUUUUAAGAGUUCUUAUUGAAAAAAGAGUUUGCGACCUCGAUGUUGAAUUAAAAAAUCUAAAUUAUUGCAGAAGUAAUUUCAGAAGGUCUGUUCGACCUUUAAAUUUUUACAUGAUUUGAGUUCAGACCGGCGUAAGCCAGGUUGGUUUCUAUCUUUUAAUAAAUAAAAAGUUGUUUUAGUACGAAAGGAUUUAAUAACUAAAUUUAUUUUUAAUUUGAUAUAGUUAUUUUGGCAGAAUAUAUGUGUUGGA